ACGAUUGGCUGGGAGGAUGAGGAA
This 24-nucleotide unclassified non-coding RNA is filed under the name Mus musculus (house mouse). RNAcentral describes it as "oocyte_clustered_small_RNA2736". The record is from RNAcentral. Lineage: Eukaryota; Metazoa; Chordata; Mammalia; Rodentia; Muridae.